Carya illinoinensis is the source of this 1397-nucleotide long non-coding RNA. RefSeq lists it as uncharacterized. The record is from RefSeq and is a predicted model, not a curated record. The transcript has 3 exons. NCBI's taxonomy places the organism in Eukaryota, Viridiplantae, Streptophyta, Magnoliopsida, Fagales, Juglandaceae.
UAAAUACCUCUUUCUCUUCCGUAUUCAUUAAUUUUUAACUCUUGCAUCUCACUAGCACUUUCCCCUUUCAAUAGAAAAAAAAUUAUCAAUAAACUUGUACUCUUACCAUUGUCCAACUCUUAAUAAAUUCUUACAUCUCCAGUAUAAGAACUUUGAGAUUCAGAAGGAGACGUACAGGGGCCAGCAGUAGAGCCAGAUUUACUUUUCUCGUCUCCAUUUGAUGCGAACCCUCCUCCAUAAAAAGGAGAUAUGCCAGCUGGUGCUAUGCAGAGAAGAUCGUAUCACAGGAGCGGAGGAUGCUUGAUCUUGGUGUUUGAUUGUCGGUCAUGACCGAGGUCUUGACUCGAGCCAGAUUCCGUUACCUCUGUAGACUUUUGCUUGAUUUACAUUAUUACUACAUCCCCAUUGAAACCCCAAUUAACAGGUAACUCGUGCUUUUAAAUCUUUGGGGGUAUUUAUUAACCUUUUCUGCAAUCAAAUUUGGUCCCAGAAAUCUUCAUUCAUUUUGGUAUUCUGUAUUUUCGUCCGUUUUAAGUUUGAGUACCGUUAUUCCCUUAACCUUACCGCUUAAAUUACCUUUCUUGAUAUGAACCAAAUGUGAUAUGGCAUUCAUCAAAAAAAAAAAAAAAAAAAAGUGAUAUGGCACCACUUGUUGAACCUCGAUUGGUAUCCCAAUUUUUUUUUAAAAUACAUUCAAAAUAAAAAAAGCGUCCAAAAAUACAAGAAAAUGAAGAUUCAAAUCUUAGCUUUACCUUUGUAUUUUGUAUUUUUUUAUCUAAGCAGUAAGUUUUAGAUUAUCAAGUAUCAUUAUUCUUUAAAUUUUCUGUUCACUCGUGUACAUUAUUAAUUGAGUUUUGUUAUAUACAAACGAAUUUGGAUAUUGAUCUGCAUACCAAAACUGUUAUCUUCAUAUUCAAAAUUUAAAUUUGUACCAUUUUCAUUAAAGGUUGAUUUUCUGACUAAUUACGUUGGAUGGAUGCGCAUAUUAGUGUGUAGAAUCGCUUACUACCAUAUUUUUCCUUAUUAAUUGGACUUAGGUUUUAGCUUUUCUCCACAGAGCGAAAUCCAGGGUUUUGGGACUUUGUGAGAGCUUGCUCAUUGCCGUGUUGAUAAACUCCGUAGGUUUUGUUAGUUACACAAUAUUUUGUAGGGGUAGUGUUAACGUAUGGAAUUUGGGAGUUCAAGUUUGUGGGGGAAUGAUUUGAAAUUGUGUUUCUUAAAGGCGGAUUUAUAACUAAAAAGUUAUUUACGACCAGGGUUUUGGGGUAUUAGGAAAUCAAUAUAUUGGCACCCACUUUUUGCUUAUUCAUGCCUCCUUUGAUAAGGUUUCAUCUCAUCUUAUUUUAUUUUAUCUCAACAUUUAAACACUAUUAAAACAUAAUACUUUUUAAUUUAUC